RNAcentral lists this ribosomal RNA (975 nucleotides) under human gut metagenome. RNAcentral describes it as "bacterial SSU rRNA". It matches the Rfam family "Bacterial small subunit ribosomal RNA", at positions 337 to 1315 of the family's 1533-position model. The record is from RNAcentral.
UCCUACGGGAGGCAGCAGUGAGGAAUAUUGGUCAAUGGACGUAAGUCUGAACCAGCCAAGUCGCGUGAGGGAAGACUGCCCUAUGGGUUGUAAACCUCUUUUAUAAGGGAAGAAUAAGUUCUACGUGUAGAAUGAUGCCUGUACCUUAUGAAUAAGCAUCGGCUAACUCCGUGCCAGCAGCCGCGGUAAUACGGAGGAUGCGAGCGUUAUCCGGAUUUAUUGGGUUUAAAGGGUGCGUAGGCGGUUUAUUAAGUUAGUGGUUAAAUAUUUGAGCUAAACUCAAUUGUGCCAUUAAUACUGGUAAACUGGAGUACAGACGAGGUAGGCGGAAUAAGUUAAGUAGCGGUGAAAUGCAUAGAUAUAACUUAGAACUCCGAUAGCGAAGGCAGCUUACCAGACUGUAACUGACGCUGAUGCACGAGAGCGUGGGUAGCGAACAGGAUUAGAUACCCUGGUAGUCCACGCCGUAAACGAUGCUCACUGGUUCUGUGCGAUAUAUUGUACGGGAUUAAGCGAAAGUAUUAAGUGAGCCACCUGGGGAGUACGUCGGCAACGAUGAAACUCAAAGGAAUUGACGGGGGCCCGCACAAGCGGAGGAACAUGUGGUUUAAUUCGAUGAUACGCGAGGAACCUUACCUGGGUUUAAAUGGGAAAUGCCGUAUUUGGAAACAGAUAUUCUCUUCGGAGCGUUUUUCAAGGUGCUGCAUGGUUGUCGUCAGCUCGUGCCGUGAGGUGUCGGGUUAAGUCCCAUAACGAGCGCAACCCUUACCGUUAGUUGCUAGCAUGUAAUGAUGAGCACUCUAACGGGACUGCCACCGUAAGGUGAGAGGAAGGCGGGGAUGACGUCAAAUCAGCACGGCCCUUACACCCAGGGCUACACACGUGUUACAAUGGCCGGUACAGAGGGCCGCUACCAGGUGACUGGAUGCCAAUCUCAAAAGCCGGUCGUAGUUCGGAUUGGAGUCUGUAACCCGA